This is a long non-coding RNA of Boleophthalmus pectinirostris (great blue-spotted mudskipper), 589 nucleotides long. RefSeq lists it as uncharacterized. Lineage: Eukaryota; Metazoa; Chordata; Actinopteri; Gobiiformes; Gobiidae. The record is from RefSeq and is a predicted model, not a curated record. The transcript is spliced from 3 exons.
CUCUUAUCCUAUUCAUAGAGGAAUGUCCAAAGAAUCUCUCAAAUACACAUUCAAUAUCAUUGGAAUUAUAAAAGGGGAUUUGGACACAGACAACUUGUUGAAGGAGACUGAUUACCACAUAGUAUGAAGUGAAAACCGGACAGGACAGUCAGGCGAGCUUUAAUGGUGUCUGAGCCCCCGAUUUUGGUGCACUUCAUUCCCACCAGAGCGAGGAUAGCUCCGAAAAACCCCAGACACACUGCUGCUAUCAUGAGACCCCUGCAAACCUGAAUGUAUAUAAAACUAUUUACCACUUGGGCUAGACUCACCAUCCAGAGCCAGCAUCGAGGGAAAGUCCUUGCAGUUGGAGACUCCAGUGGAGUCGGUGACGCAGGUCUUCCACAAAUUUGACCAAAAUGUUGCUGUGGUGAUGACUGUCCCAUCUACGGAUGACACCUUCCAGUAGUCAGUGGGAAGCGUGGAUGACACCAGAAUCCAGCCUGAAAUAGUCAAGAGAAAAGCCACUAUCUCUGUCCCCAUGCUCCCCAUCCUCUCCGCUCCUCUGGCCUUGAUUUGGGACUCUCGGCGGGGUGCACAGGUGGGACUAAAU